RNAcentral lists this microRNA precursor (95 nucleotides) under Gossypium hirsutum (cotton). RNAcentral describes it as "MIR7502 microRNA precursor family". It matches the Rfam family "MIR7502 microRNA precursor family". The record is from Rfam by way of RNAcentral. Lineage: Eukaryota; Viridiplantae; Streptophyta; Magnoliopsida; Malvales; Malvaceae.
UUUUAAAAAUUCUAUUUAUUUGUACGGUUAAAAAUUAGCGUGGCUGAUGUACAGUGAUCAGUUUUUAACCGUAUAAAUGAAUAAAAUUUUUAAUA